RNAcentral lists this ribosomal RNA (443 nucleotides) under uncultured bacterium. RNAcentral's name for it is "partial 16S ribosomal RNA". It matches the Rfam family "Bacterial small subunit ribosomal RNA", at positions 338 to 795 of the family's 1533-position model. The record is from RNAcentral.
CCUACGGGUGGCAGCAGUGGGGAAUAUUGGGCAAUGGGCGCAAGCCUGACCCAGCAACGCAGCGUGAAGGAAGAAGGCCCUCGGGUUGUAAACUUCUUUUGUCAGGGACGAAACAAAUGACGGUACCUGACGAAUAAGCCACGGCUAACUACGUGCAAGCAGCCGCGGUAAUACGGAGGUGGCAAGCGUGAUCCGGAUUUACUGGGUGUACAGGGCGUGUAGGCGGGAGAGCAAGUCAGAUGUGAAAUUUCAGGGCUCAACCCUGGAACUGCAUUUGAUACUGUUUUUCUUGAGUGAUGGUGAGGCAGGCGGAAUUCGGUGUGUAGCGGUGAAAUGCGUAGAUAUACGGAGGAACACCAGUGGCGAAGGCGGCCUGCUGGACAGUCACUGACGCUGAGGCGCGAAAGCGUGGGGAGCAAACAGGAUUAGAUACCCUAGUAGUC